Molecule: long non-coding RNA, 1283 nt
Filed under: Mus spicilegus (steppe mouse)
Lineage: Eukaryota; Metazoa; Chordata; Mammalia; Rodentia; Muridae
Description: lncRNA (ENSMSIG00000027428.1)
Source: RNAcentral
GCCUCUCAACCGGCCACGGCAUCCCCCUCCUGCUCACUCUGCAGCGGAAACAAUCCCCAGGGUGGGUGCACGGAGCACCCUCUGCCCAUCUACACGUCUCCCAAGAACCACACAUAUUUUCCUUCUGAGCUGGCUCCAGCCUAUGUGUCAAUGUGUCCGCCUGAGGCUAAACUUUCCUUAAUGACUGGGUGAGGCACUGGCUGGGCUCCUUCAGCCACCGGAGGAGGGACCAUCCCUGUUGGGUGCCUCUAGCUGCCAGGAGAGGCUUGGCUGCCAGAAUGUGCCGGUAAAGACACCCCAGGGUCUAAAGCCAGCACUGUUUAGCUUGAUGUUGUGGUACAAAGAAACACGGGUGGGGAAACUGAGUCAUAGUCCAAACCUCUUCCUCCUAAAUGAUCUUAUUCUUGGGCACCAAGAGACAAGAGGUGGGGCUGAAGAGAAGAGAUGCCUCACAGUUGCCAGAGCCAGAGGCUGUGGUAACUAACUUAUGGCUAAUGAAUUUGGUGCUCUAGAUUGUUAACUGACUGUAGUCCCUUAUGAGCCUGAGCCUCAGUGUCCUCAUCAGGGAAUGGAUGAGGUAACAGAGCUCCCUAACAGCGAUGAAUAUGAGGUGAACUUGACAAUGCAGGUAGCUGCUGGCAUCGAGGAGGGAAUGCAAGUCCUCUGAAUGCCAGGGGAGGUCUGAAGCACUCGCAGAAGGAAUGUGCUCUGCAGACUGAUCGCAGCCGGAUGGGGAUCCAUGAAGUGCUCUGCUCUCUUCUCUUUUCCUUGCUGUACCCCGGGGUUGAAGGAACACAGGCCUCUCCAGGCCCCAGGAUCCAGCCUUACUGGACUACCAUCUCUUCCCAAAGGCAGGGCAUGGGGACCAGGAACAAGAGCCCCGGUUAGAGCGCAAAAGAUGGCUGAACAUAACUGGGCAAGCCUGUAAUACACUGUGGCCUCCGGGAAGCAGGAACAGAAGACCUGUCAGUUCAAGGCCAGAAAAAAGAAAGAACAAAGAAAGAAUAACCCAAGUUGAUAAGGACCUGAUUAUAGAAACUGUGACCACGAGACACUAUCCAGCAAAUGACAAGAACCACAGCAACACGCAUCCCCACGGGCCUCAAGAGCGACACCAAAGACCCUGCAAGUUUCCUCUAUCCAUUUUCUGUUGUGAAAAUAAAUUACGAAGCCAGUCUAGGUUACAUAGUGAGAUCCAGGCUAGCCAGACUGGCAUGGUCUCAACUAGUAAGUAAGUAAGUAAGUAAGUAAGUAAAUAAAUAAAAUUUAAAAACUGAAAUGCA